Molecule: small nuclear RNA, 18 nt
Filed under: Arabidopsis thaliana (thale cress)
Lineage: Eukaryota; Viridiplantae; Streptophyta; Magnoliopsida; Brassicales; Brassicaceae
Description: snRNA_03819
Source: RNAcentral
UUUGGGUAAUCUCCGGCG